RNAcentral lists this ribosomal RNA (253 nucleotides) under uncultured bacterium. Its description in RNAcentral is "partial 16S ribosomal RNA". It matches the Rfam family "Bacterial small subunit ribosomal RNA", at positions 524 to 776 of the family's 1533-position model. The record is from RNAcentral.
UACGUAGGGUGCGAGCGUUGUCCGGAAUUAUUGGGCGUAAAGAGCUUGUAGGCGGUCUGUCGCGUCUGCUGUGAAAAUCCGGGGCUCAACCCCGGACUUGCAGUGGGUACGGGCAGACUAGAGUGUGGUAGGGGAGACUGGAAUUCCUGGUGUAGCGGUGAAAUGCGCAGAUAUCAGGAGGAACACCGGUGGCGAAGGCGGGUCUCUGGGCCGUAACUGACGCUGAGACACGAAAGCGUGGGUAGCAAACAGG